Molecule: long non-coding RNA, 633 nt
Organism: Oreochromis aureus
Lineage: Eukaryota; Metazoa; Chordata; Actinopteri; Cichliformes; Cichlidae
Exons: 3
Source: RefSeq, a predicted model, not a curated record
CCCCACUCUACCAGCUCUACCUUGAUGCAAGAGAGGAGGCUCUCACUGAUGACCUACCAGAUCUUGACACAGGGGCUGCACUUUUAUUCCUGCCAUACGUCUUCAAGGAGAAACUGGAUCUCUUUGUCAUACUUGGAGAGGUUCAUCCUAAAACCCCCUAUCCAACUGUUCAGCUACUUCAUGAAGACUGGAAACCAGUGUUCUCCAGAAGCGCUCCAAACAUUGUGAAGUUGGAUGGCAGUGAAGUGUGCAGAACCUCGUGUAUUUUUGAAGGAAUCAUCUCUUCUUUCUGCUUGUAUUUUGUCUUCAACCUUGCUUACCCAAAACAUCUGAAGAACACCCUGAUUUUUCUCCAAAAGUACAUUGUGAAAAUAGAUGAGGGUGAGGACCGGCCUCUGCCAAUCACAGUCACCAGACAAAUAAAUCUUCUGUAUUGACCACCAUGCCUCAGCCAUAUCAGUGCUCCAAAUGUGGCAGAAGAACCUUUAGUUUGAUAAAGCUUAUUCAGCACAUAGGACUUAUUCAUUCCCAUGAUGCCAAUUUUGAUAUAACUUGUGGACUCAGUGACUGCUGUUCUUCUGUUACACCAGAGUGUCAUUAUUUAAUCCACUAUGCAAGACUGAUUGAAAUGUU